RNAcentral lists this ribosomal RNA (584 nucleotides) under uncultured bacterium. RNAcentral describes it as "partial 16S ribosomal RNA". It matches the Rfam family "Bacterial small subunit ribosomal RNA", at positions 355 to 1375 of the family's 1533-position model. The record is from RNAcentral.
UGGGGAAUUUUGGACAAUGGGCGAAAGCCUGAUCCAGCAAUGCCGCGUGUGUGAAGAAGGCCUUCGGGUUGUAAAGCACUUUUGUCCGGAAAGAAAUCCUUGGCUCUAAUACAGUCGGGGGAUGACGGUACCGGAAGAAUAAGCACCGGCUAACUACGUGCCAGCAGCCGCGGUAAUACGUAGGGUGCAAGCGUUAAUCGGAAUUACUGGGCGUAAAGCGUGCGCAGGCGGUUUGCUAAGACCGAUGUGAAAUCCCCGGGCUCAACCUGGGAAUUGCAUUGGUGACUGGCAGGCUAGAGUAUGGCAGAGGGGGGUAGAAUUCCACGUGUAGCAGUGAAAUGCGUAGAGAUGUGGAGGAAUACCGAUGGCGAAGGCAGCCCCCUGGGCCAAUACUGACGCUCAUGCACGAAAGCGUGGGGAGCAAACAGGAUUAGAUACCCUGGUAGUCCACGCCCUAAACGAUGUCAACUAGUUGUUGGGGAUUCAUUCCUUAGUAACGUAGCUAACGCGUGAAGUUGACCGCCUGGGGAGUACGGUCGCAAGAUUAAAACUCAAAGGAAUUGACGGGGUCAUAGCUGUUUCCU